GGUGUGUGCCUGUAGUCCCAGCUACUCAGGGGGCUGAGGCAGGGGAAUUGCCUGAACUGGGGAGGCAGAGACUGCAGUAAGUCAAGAUUUGCCACUGCACUCCAGUCUAGCAACAGAGCGAGACUCUGUCUAGAAAGAAAGAAAUACUUGAUAGUAUCUAGUGUGAUACUCUGUGUGUUACUUUAGCUUAGGUGAACUUCAUGUGCCAAUCAAGAACGCCUCUCAUGGGGUGGCCAGGCAGGAUUACAUCAGAAAGGCCAGACAUGUCUUUUACAAGCCCUCCUUGUUCAACGACCAUUACUUUGCUAAUUCUUAUGUAAGGUGUAAACAAUGGGUUUUUAUGGAUGAAAUCUGCGUCUUGGUAGUUAGUUUUCUUUGGCAAAAUUAAAGGAAUUCAAGAUGUAUAGAUUAGAGCUUAGGGGUCCUCCUUCCUUCUUGAAUGAAGAGCACCUCAGAAUCCACUCAACCAUGGAUCUGUUCCUUUGGGGGAUAUUUUCUUAGCUUGAGCCUCAGUUAGUCUUACAGCCAUUGGUUAAGAGAUGAGAUAAUGCAGAUGGCAAUGUUUUGAAUCUUGCCGGGAGUUGUUGCUGUGUCUGUGGUAAGCAGAUCUUUUACAGGACAUACUUGCAGCACCUAAACAGAGAGCUGAGAGCUGGGACUCCAGGUUUACAGGACUGCUUGAUGAACUGUUCUGAGCUUGUUUUCAUGUGUGAGAAUUUGGUCAGGGACUUGCUUUUUUUAAUACCUGCUAAAAAGGUGGUAGAGGAAAACUAAUUAUUUGCCCACUCCAAUUUUCCUGAAGCCUACUGUGAUCUACCAAACCAAAGCAAACCAAACAAAACUCCCAAAGUUGGCCAUGACCAAAUUAAAAUAAAAUAGUUUGCAGUAAUGUUAUUUUUCAGAGGGUCAUUAAUCAUACACAUGUAAUGGAGAAUUUGCCUACGUGGAUUCUCAACAUUUUUUUACCCCAGAGAUAGCAUGAGGGAAAAGGCUACCAUGGAAGAGGAUUGAGGAAGAGGAUUUCUUCUUCCAAAGAAGUUUAGGAAGAGGAAACGAAAGGCAAGUACAAGAAGACAACUCGGGGUGAAGGUCCUGGUGAGGCUUUCAGAGUGUAGAUGAAGAUCUGACCGAAAACACUGGCGAGGAGUCCAGAGGGAUGGGUUCCUUGUCUCUGGAGGGAAAGAAUGAAAACAUUGGAAAGACACACACUCGUCCCCUAUAGAAGAGCUCGAGAAAGAAAGUGAUAGCUUCAGUCAGGUGUAGUGGCCCAUGCCUGUAAUCCCAGCACUUUGAGAGGCCGAGGUGGGUGGCUCACUUGAGGUCAGGAGUUCGAGACCAGCCUGGUCAACAUGGUGAAACCCCAUCUCUACUAAAACUAUAAACAUUAGCUGGGCGUGGUGGCAGGCGCCUAUAAUCCCAGCUACUUGGGAGGCUGAGGCAAGAGAAUCACUUGAAGGUUGAAACAGGUGGAGGUUUCAAUGAGCUGAGACUGUGCCAUUGCACUCCAGCCUGGGUAACAGGAGCAAAAUUCCAUGUCAAAAAAAAAAAAAAAAA
Molecule: long non-coding RNA, 1554 nt
Organism: Macaca mulatta (Rhesus monkey)
Lineage: Eukaryota; Metazoa; Chordata; Mammalia; Primates; Cercopithecidae
Source: Ensembl